This 257-nucleotide ribosomal RNA is filed under the name uncultured Gardnerella sp. RNAcentral's name for it is "partial 16S ribosomal RNA". It matches the Rfam family "Bacterial small subunit ribosomal RNA", at positions 99 to 354 of the family's 1533-position model. Lineage: Bacteria; Bacillati; Actinomycetota; Actinomycetes; Bifidobacteriales; Bifidobacteriaceae. The record is from RNAcentral.
CGAACGGGUGAGUAAUGCGUGACCAACCUGCCCCAUGCUCCAGAAUAGCUCUUGGAAACGGGUGGUAAUGCUGGAUGCUCCAACUUGACGCAUGUCUUGUUGGGAAAGUGUUUAGUGGCAUGGGAUGGGGUCGCGUCCUAUCAGCUUGUAGGCGGGGUAAUGGCCCACCUAGGCUUCGACGGGUAGCCGGCCUGAGAGGGCGGACGGCCACAUUGGGACUGAGAUACGGUCCAGACUCCUACGGGAAGGCAGCAGGA